This is a long non-coding RNA of Vespa crabro (European hornet), 607 nucleotides long. RefSeq lists it as uncharacterized. The transcript has 2 exons. Lineage: Eukaryota; Metazoa; Arthropoda; Insecta; Hymenoptera; Vespidae. The record is from RefSeq and is a predicted model, not a curated record.
AGAGACAGAAAGAAUAAUAUUAUGAAUGAUUGUCUUUAGUAUAUUCCGCUACAACCCGCAUUAAUAUAUACGUAAGUAACAUACGUACUUACGUACAGUCUGCGGAUGACCUCCGAAGACGCAGAUCGUGGGUCUUGGCAAGCGACCUCGAGUGCCCUCGAGGUAAACUCUCGAAGGUAACUCGAAAGAAGGAGAAGAGAACGAAGAAUGAAGAGAAGAGGAGAGGAGUGAAGAGAAGAGGAGAAGAGAGUUCAAGGAGGCGAGAGAGAUUCAAACGAGUUCCAUCCUAUUUCGUCCAUUUUUUUUUUCUUCUCCGUCAUAUAUUUUCGAUCGAACGAAGCGACUGUUAAAUGGCAAUUAAGGGAUCAACAUGUGGUUACUUACUUUUCACAACCUGUGGGCGCAACCCGAAAAAAAAAAGAAAAGGAGAAUCCAUGUUCCAUGGUUUGGCCAUGGAUAAACCGAAGAGAGGCGGAAAUUAAGUGAAGGGUUUUAUAGAGCCAUGCGACAUUCCUGAGAAACCGAAAGGAUCGAGAAACAGAGAGAGAGAGAGAGAGAGAGAGAGAGAUUGAAAGUCGAGGACAUUAAACUCUACCCGUUGCCACGA